This 433-nucleotide ribosomal RNA is filed under the name uncultured Streptococcus sp. RNAcentral's name for it is "bacterial SSU rRNA". It matches the Rfam family "Bacterial small subunit ribosomal RNA", at positions 950 to 1382 of the family's 1533-position model. Lineage: Bacteria; Bacillati; Bacillota; Bacilli; Lactobacillales; Streptococcaceae. The record is from RNAcentral.
UUCGAAGCAACGCGAAGAACCUUUACCAGGUCUUGUACAUCCCGAUGCUAUUUCUAGAGAUAGAAAGUUACUUCGGUACAUCGGUGACAGGUGGUGCAUGGUUGUCGUCAGCUCGUGUCGUGAGAUGUUGGGUUAAGUCCCGCAACGAGCGCAACCCCUAUUGUUAGUUGCCAUCAUUCAGUUGGGCACUCUAGCGAGACUGCCGGUAAUAAACCGGAGGAAGGUGGGGAUGACGUCAAAUCAUCAUGCCCCUUAUGACCUGGGCUACACACGUGCUACAAUGGUUGGUACAACGAGUUGCGAGUCGGUGACGGCGAGCUAAUCUCUUAAAGCCAAUCUCAGUUCGGAUUGUAGGCUGCAACUCGCCUACAUGAAGUCGGAAUCGCUAGUAAUCGCGGAUCAGCACGCCGCGGUGAAUACGUUCCCGGGCCUU